UUUUUAGUUUUAAUAUUUUAUUUAUAAAAAUUUUAAUAAUAUUUUUUUAGUAUUUAUUAAAAAAAAUUUUAUAUAGUUUAUGAAAAUUAUUAAAAUAAAAAGUUUAUAAUAAUUAAUUAGUACCUUUUGUAUCAGGGUAAAUUAAUUAAAAUUUAUUUUUAUAAAAUUCCCGAAAAUAAGAUAUUUAUAUAUAAUUAAUAUUUUAUUGUUGCAAUAAUAUUUACAAAUUUUAUAUAGUAGAAAAAUUCUAAUCGUUCUUUUUUAUAUCUGGUUAUUUAGGAAUUCAAUUUAAUUGAUGAUUAAAGAUAAAUUAUUAAUUUUAAUAUAAAAAUUAAUCAUAUAUAAUUUGGGAUAAUCUAUUUUAUUUUUUAAAAUUUUAUUAAUUAAAUAUUUAUUUAUUUUAAAAUCUUUUAUUAUAGUUCUUAAUAGAUUUUUAUUAUUUAUUUUAAUUUUAUUAAAUUUAUAUUUUUACUAAGUUAAUUAAGUAAAUUUUAAUUUUUAUUAAAUAAUGAUUUAAUUAGUAUAAUAUAAAUUUAAUUUAUAAAUAACUCGACAAAAACAAUCUUCAGCUGUUUAUCAAAAACAUUUCUUUUAGAUUAAAAAUUAAAAGUAAAUUCUGCCCUAUGAUAAAAAUUAAAUGGCUGCAGUAUUUUGACUGUGCAAAGGUAGCAUAAUCAUUAGUCAUUUAAUUGUUGACUUGUAUGAAUGGAUAAAUGAGAGAUUAAUUUUUUUUAUUUUAUUAUUAAAAUUUAAUUUUUAGGUAAAAAAGCUUUAAUUAUUUUUUUGGGACGAUAAGACCCUAUAGAACUUUAUUAUAUGUUUAAUUAUACAAUUUUAUAGUUAAAAUUAUUUGUUAAUUAUUAUUAUUUUUUUGUUGGGGUGAUGAAUAAAUAUUUAACUUUAUUUUUUUGUAUCAUUAAUUUAUGAUUAUUUUUGAUCCUAAAUUUUAGAUUAAAAGAUUAAGUUACCUUAGGGAUAACAGCGUAAUUUUAAUGGGGAGUUCAUAUUUAUAUUAAAGUUUGCGACCUCGAUGUUGAAUUAAGAUAAGUUUGAGGGGUAGAUUUUUCAUUACUAAGUCUGUUCGACUUUUAAAUUCUUACAUGAUUUGAGUUCAAACCGGUGUAAGCCAGGUUGGUUUCUAUCUAAAAAUUAUAUCUAUUAUUUAGUACGAAAGGACCAAUAAUAGCAAUAAUUAUUUGUCAAAAUUGAAUUUUAAU
This 1217-nucleotide ribosomal RNA is filed under the name Atkinsoniella xanthonota. RNAcentral describes it as "16S ribosomal RNA". Lineage: Eukaryota; Metazoa; Arthropoda; Insecta; Hemiptera; Cicadellidae. The record is from RNAcentral.